UCAGAAGAGGGGACUAAAAAAACCUGAUUCGGUUUGACGAGCAAAGAGAGAAAGAAGAAAAAGAAAGGGGAAGAGGGACGAACCGGGGCGGUGGUGGGGGUUCAGGCUGUGAAGAUUUGGAGGGAGGCGUUCUUGGGGACAAGGCAGAGGGGACACGCGUCAGAUUUGGAUUCGCAGGCGCGGCAGAGUCAGAGGUGCCUGCAGGGAAGGAGGAGCAUGCACGCCUCCUCGUCGCCGCAUGCCCUGCAGUAGCAAACCCUCCUCCUCUCGGAGAGGAUACCGACCUCGACGUCGUCGUCGUGGGGCUUGGCGGCGAAGGAGCAGGAUUGGGCAUCGUCAAUGGCGGGGGAGGAGUCGCCGAAGCCUCGGGGAGAGAAAGAGAGGAUAACUUAAGGGAAUAGUUUAAUUAGGUAUGGGCAAAAUAGGUAUUUUAAUUAGGUUUUAACUCUGGUAUACAUUUAACCCAUGUUUAAUCCGAGUUAAUUUAACAGGGGAUAACUGCGGCGGUAUUUUGGAAUAACGGUGGAACAUAUGAGGGGUAUUUUAGAAAGAAAAAAAAGUAGGAAUAAAUCGGAUAUUUUCAAAUGUAUGAGGGGUAUAUAGGCAAUUAUCCCUAGAUUAUAUUAUUCAACCAACUACUCACUCAACCCUUGGGGGACCACAUCAUCCUAUCCAUACAUUUUUUAAUCCAAAGGCUAAAAAACUAAUAGCACCAGAUCCUUGGUGCUAUUGAUAGCAUUCCAGCCUAAUUCUAUAUAUAUAUAUAUAUAUAUAUAAAACAUUUUAUAUUGGAAUUUUUUUUGGG
This 805-nucleotide long non-coding RNA is filed under the name Ananas comosus (pineapple). RNAcentral describes it as "long non-coding RNA (ACOM_LNC025723)". Lineage: Eukaryota; Viridiplantae; Streptophyta; Magnoliopsida; Poales; Bromeliaceae. The record is from RNAcentral.